RNAcentral lists this small RNA (297 nucleotides) under Ophiostoma piceae UAMH 11346. RNAcentral's name for it is "5' ureB small RNA". It matches the Rfam family "5' ureB small RNA". Lineage: Eukaryota; Fungi; Ascomycota; Sordariomycetes; Ophiostomatales; Ophiostomataceae. The record is from Rfam by way of RNAcentral.
CUCAUAUGCCUGCUGCGGGCAGAUAAAGUGAAUGUGCGUGUCGAUGCCGCCGGUCGUGAUGAUCUUGUUCUCGCCCGCCACAACCUCGGUGCAGCUGCCAACCACCAUGUUCUCGGGGAACACGCCGUCCAUGACGUCGGGGUUGCCCGCCUUGCCGAUACCGACAAUAAUGCCCUCCUUGAUACCAAUGUCGGCUUUGUAGAUGCCAGUCCAGUCGAGAAUCAGCGCAUUCACCACAACAAGGUCUAGGCAGUCCUUGUCAGAACGGCCCGAUGCCUGGCCCAUACCCUCACGCAG